GCCUGGGUGGCUCAGUCGGUUGAGCGUCUGACUUCCGCUCAGGUCAUGAUCUCAAGGCUGAUAAGUUGGAGCCCAGCCUCGGGCU
This 85-nucleotide transfer RNA is filed under the name Felis catus (domestic cat). It matches the Rfam family "tRNA". From Rfam's summary of the family: Transfer RNA (tRNA) molecules are approximately 80 nucleotides in length. RNAcentral also lists the same sequence under 2 other names. Lineage: Eukaryota; Metazoa; Chordata; Mammalia; Carnivora; Felidae. The record is from Rfam by way of RNAcentral.